UUUCUUCCGCCUUCAGUCUCUGGAUCUUUUGUAGCGCUUCCAACAGCGCUAUGUUGGGACAGAGCAUCCAGAGGUUUACAACCUCUGUGGUUCGUCGGAGCCACUACGAGGAGAGUCCAGGGAAGAAUGUACCAUUUUCAGUGGAAAACAAGUGGAGGUUACUAGCUAUGAUGACUUUGUUCUUUGGGUCAGGAUUUGCUGCACCGUUCUUUAUAGUAAGACACCAACUGCUUAAAAAGUAAUCCAUGAGACAGAUAAGAAGAGGAACAUAUUAAGAGGUGCAAUCUCUUAAAAGGAUCAAACCCUU
Molecule: non-coding RNA, 307 nt
Organism: Odocoileus virginianus texanus
Lineage: Eukaryota; Metazoa; Chordata; Mammalia; Artiodactyla; Cervidae
Source: RefSeq, a predicted model, not a curated record